UAGCAUAUCAAUAAGCGCAGGAAAAGAAAACAACAGGGAUUGCCUCAGUAACGGCGAGUGAAGCGGCAACAGCUCAAAUUUGAAAUCUGGCCUCUUGGGGUCCGAGUUGUAAUUUGUAGAGGAUGUUUCGGGUACCGCCUCGGUUUAAAUUUCUUGGAACAGAAUGUCAAAGAGGGUGAGAAUCCCGUCUUGGACCGGCGGUAGGGCCUAUGUGAAACUCCUUCGACGAGUCGAGUUGUUUGGGAAUGCAGCUCAAAAUGGGUGGUAAAUUUCAUCUAAAGCUAAAUAUUGGCCAGAGACCGAUAGCGCACAAGUAGAGUGAUCGAAAGAUGAAAAGCACUUUGAAAAGAGAGUUAAACAGUAUGUGAAAUUGUUGAAAGGGAAGCGCUUGCAACCAGACUUGAGCGCGGCGGUUCCCCCUUGCUUCUGCUUGGGUUACUCCGCCGUGUCCAGGCCAACAUCGGUUCUGGGGGUCGGUCAAAGGCUCUGGGAAUGUAUCUACCCACGGGUAGACUUAUAGACCAGGGUGUCAUGCGACCUCCCGGGACCGAGGAACGCGCUUCGGCUCGGAUGUUGGCGUAAUGGUUGUCAGCGACCCGUCUUGAAACACGGACCAAGGAGUCUAACAUCUAUGCGAGUGUUUGGGUGUCAAACCCGGAACGCGGAAUGAAAGUGAACGGAGGUAGGAAGCUUCGGCUGCACUAUCGACCGAUCCUGAAGUUUACGGAUGGAUUUGAGUAAGAGCAUAGCUGUUGGGACCCGAAAGAUGGUGAACUAUGCCUGAAUAGGGUGAAGCCAGAGGAAACUCUGGUGGAGGCUCGCAGCGGUUCUGACGUGCAAAUCGAUCGUCAAAUUUGGGUAUAGGGGCGAAAGACUAAUCGAACCAUCUGGUAGCUGGUUCCUGCG
Molecule: ribosomal RNA, 906 nt
Filed under: Fonsecaea pedrosoi
Lineage: Eukaryota; Fungi; Ascomycota; Eurotiomycetes; Chaetothyriales; Herpotrichiellaceae
Description: LSU rRNA
Rfam family: Eukaryotic large subunit ribosomal RNA
Source: RNAcentral